ACAAGUGAUCCUCACAAAAGCAAAAAUAGAUAAAUUAAAAGUAUAUUUUUUAAUUAAUUUUGCCUUACAAUUUCUUGUCAUAUUGCAUUCAGUUUGUUUACAAUCUCUUUGGGUUUCUUGGUUUAGGCAUUCAGUUUGUACUUGUUGAUAUCUUUGUAUUGGCAUCUUAAUUAUUUCUUUAUCUUUGCAGUGGAAUGAUUCAAUAGAAAAUAUGCCCAAUGGAAUGCAACUAAGAAGGAAGAAAAGAAAAUGGUUAAUUUGAAGGACAAGUGGAGAAACAUGAUGCAAUAGUGAUGCACAUGUGUAGAUCUUAGGGAGUAGGUUCUAACUUCUAUGGAUGCAACCUAGUUUUUUUAAAAGAGGGACCUAAGACGUAAGUACCAACUAUGCUGCCAAUACACUUCAGUUUUAUAUCUGGUUUUAAGAGCUCAUCCAACGUUGCAAGCACUACUUUUCUACAUUGCUUCUAAAGAAGGAGGUAAGAUUUUGGAGCAAUUGACUACAAUAUGUUCCUAAUCAACAAGCUUCAUAGAAAUUGGAUCAAGAGAAUGAGAUUCCUUUGGCAAAAGAGUUAGGAAGUAAGUUUUCUAGAGCAAGCAACAAAGCAGUGUCAUCUUUUUAUGAUGGAGAUUUUAUGUAUUAAGAGCUACAUGUUAAGACAUUUAUAAUUAAAGAAUCAUGUUAUGUUAGAUAUU
This is a non-coding RNA of Arachis ipaensis, 695 nucleotides long. The record is from RefSeq and is a predicted model, not a curated record. NCBI's taxonomy places the organism in Eukaryota, Viridiplantae, Streptophyta, Magnoliopsida, Fabales, Fabaceae.